Mesoplodon densirostris (Blainville's beaked whale) is the source of this 324-nucleotide long non-coding RNA. RefSeq lists it as uncharacterized. NCBI's taxonomy places the organism in Eukaryota, Metazoa, Chordata, Mammalia, Artiodactyla, Ziphiidae. The transcript has 3 exons. The record is from RefSeq and is a predicted model, not a curated record.
UUUUCCCUCCUGGAGCCUGUGCGUGUUUUAUGUUUUAAUAACUUUAUCAACUCAGUGAACUUGCGCGGGAGCACCAGCAGCUUCUCUCGCCUCCCUCCUUUUCCCCCCUGUCUCUAACUGGCCUCUGGGUCACUUCCAAAAGGGGCUUCCUUCCAAUUCUCCUCGUUAUGGCUUCACCGUUGGCUGGCGUGGUCAAUACGGCCGGCAGACUUAACCCAACUUACAGAUACCCUGCACAUUUUGCAAGUUCUCUUUGUGAUGACCUGCAUUGGUACCUGUUUUCGCUAACUGGAAGAAAUGUGAAGAGGAUUUUCGCAGUUAGGA